This 450-nucleotide ribosomal RNA is filed under the name uncultured bacterium. RNAcentral describes it as "partial 16S ribosomal RNA". It matches the Rfam family "Bacterial small subunit ribosomal RNA", at positions 338 to 795 of the family's 1533-position model. The record is from RNAcentral.
CCUACGGGCGGCUGCAGUAAGGAAUAUUGGUCAAUGGACGAAAGUCUGAACCAGCCAUGCCGCGUGGAGGAUGAAGGUCCUCUGGAUUGUAAACUUCUUUUAUAUGGGACGAAAAAAGGCCUUUCCAGGUCGUCUGACGGUACCAUAUGAAUAAGCACCGGCUAACUCCGUGCCAGCAGCCGCGGUAAUACGGAGGGUGCAAGCGUCACCGGGAUUCACGGGGGCUAAAGGGUGUGUGGGUGUCUGUGGUGAAAUCCCCGAGCUUAACUUGGGAACUGCCAUUGAUACUAUCAGUCUUGAAUACCGUGGAGGUCAGCGGAAUAUGUCAUGUAGCGGUGAAAUGCUUAGAUAUGACAUAGAACACCAAUUGCGAAGGCAGCUGGCUACACGAGUAUUGACACUGAGGCACGAAAGCGUGGGGAUCAAACAGGAUUAGAUACCCUGGUAGUC